This 1994-nucleotide ribosomal RNA is filed under the name Staphylococcus aureus. RNAcentral describes it as "partial 23S ribosomal RNA". It matches the Rfam family "Bacterial large subunit ribosomal RNA", at positions 202 to 2196 of the family's 2925-position model. The record is from RNAcentral. Lineage: Bacteria; Bacillati; Bacillota; Bacilli; Caryophanales; Staphylococcaceae.
CUUAGUAACCGGAGGAAGAGAAAGAAAAUUCGAUUCCCUUAGUAGCGGCGAGCGAAACGGGAAGAGCCCAAACCAACAAGCUUGCUUGUUGGGGUUGUAGGACACUCUAUACGGAGUUACAAAGGACGACAUUAGACGAAUCAUCUGGAAAGAUGAAUCAAAGAAGGUAAUAAUCCUGUAGUCGAAAAUGUUGUCUCUCUUGAGUGGAUCCUGAGUACGACGGAGCACGUGAAAUUCCGUCGGAAUCUGGGAGGACCAUCUCCUAAGGCUAAAUACUCUCUAGUGACCGAUAGUGAACCAGUACCGUGAGGGAAAGGUGAAAAGCACCCCGGAAGGGGAGUGAAAUAGAACCUGAAACCGUGUGCUUACAAGUAGUCAGAGCCCGUUAAUGGGUGAUGGCGUGCCUUUUGUAGAAUGAACCGGCGAGUUACGAUUUGAUGCAAGGUUAAGCAGUAAAUGUGGAGCCGUAGCGAAAGCGAGUCUGAAUAGGGCGUUUAGUAUUUGGUCGUAGACCCGAAACCAGGUGAUCUACCCUUGGUCAGGUUGAAGUUCAGGUAACACUGAAUGGAGGACCGAACCGACUUACGUUGAAAAGUGAGCGGAUGAACUGAGGGUAGCGGAGAAAUUCCAAUCGAACCUGGAGAUAGCUGGUUCUCUCCGAAAUAGCUUUAGGGCUAGCCUCAAGUGAUGAUUAUUGGAGGUAGAGCACUGUUUGGACGAGGGGCCCCUCUCGGGUUACCGAAUUCAGACAAACUCCGAAUGCCAAUUAAUUUAACUUGGGAGUCAGAACAUGGGUGAUAAGGUCCGUGUUCGAAAGGGAAACAGCCCAGACCACCAGCUAAGGUCCCAAAAUAUAUGUUAAGUGGAAAAGGAUGUGGCGUUGCCCAGACAACUAGGAUGUUGGCUUAGAAGCAGCCAUCAUUUAAAGAGUGCGUAAUAGCUCACUAGUCGAGUGACACUGCGCCGAAAAUGUACCGGGGCUAAACAUAUUACCGAAGCUGUGGAUUGUCCUUUGGACAAUGGUAGGAGAGCGUUCUAAGGGCGUUGAAGCAUGAUCGUAAGGACAUGUGGAGCGCUUAGAAGUGAGAAUGCCGGUGUGAGUAGCGAAAGACGGGUGAGAAUCCCGUCCACCGAUUGACUAAGGUUUCCAGAGGAAGGCUCGUCCGCUCUGGGUUAGUCGGGUCCUAAGCUGAGGCCGACAGGCGUAGGCGAUGGAUAACAGGUUGAUAUUCCUGUACCACCUAUAAUCGUUUUAAUCGAUGGGGGGACGCAGUAGGAUAGGCGAAGCGUGCGAUUGGAUUGCACGUCUAAGCAGUAAGGCUGAGUAUUAGGCAAAUCCGGUACUCGUUAAGGCUGAGCUGUGAUGGGGAGAAGACAUUGUGUCUUCGAGUCGUUGAUUUCACACUGCCGAGAAAAGCCUCUAGAUAGAAAAUAGGUGCCCGUACCGCAAACCGACACAGGUAGUCAAGAUGAGAAUUCUAAGGUGAGCGAGCGAACUCUCGUUAAGGAACUCGGCAAAAUGACCCCGUAACUUCGGGAGAAGGGGUGCUCUUUAGGGUUAACGCCCAGAAGAGCCGCAGUGAAUAGGCCCAAGCGACUGUUUAUCAAAAACACAGGUCUCUGCUAAACCGUAAGGUGAUGUAUAGGGGCUGACGCCUGCCCGGUGCUGGAAGGUUAAGAGGAGUGGUUAGCUUCUGCGAAGCUACGAAUCGAAGCCCCAGUAAACGGCGGCCGUAACUAUAACGGUCCUAAGGUAGCGAAAUUCCUUGUCGGGUAAGUUCCGACCCGCACGAAAGGCGUAACGAUUUGGGCACUGUCUCAACGAGAGACUCGGUGAAAUCAUAGUACCUGUGAAGAUGCAGGUUACCCGCGACAGGACGGAAAGACCCCGUGGAGCUUUACUGUAGCCUGAUAUUGAAAUUCGGCACAGCUUGUACAGGAUAGGUAGGAGCCUUUGAAACGUGAGCGCUAGCUUACGUGGAGGCGCUGGUGGG